ACGACGCUUGGUCUCCUUUGAAGGCAUUCUAUUGGGGUUGUAGUGGUGGGCAUUAAUGUUGUUUUAUUGGAGCGGUGGAUGUGGAUCGACAACAAGGGUAUCUCAGUGUUUCACUAGAAAUGAAGAAAUAUGAGCUUUUAGAAUCACCGAUUCCAGAAAGAACUCAUAAAUUAUCUCAACAACCAAAUUGUUUUUGAUGGAUCUAUCAAGGUAUAUAGUUUCAAACAAAAUUAUAUUUUUUUCUCAUUCUCUUUUGUAAUCUUAUCACAUUCUUUAUAUAUCUGCGUAGUAUUUUCAAUCUCCUAG
Molecule: long non-coding RNA, 306 nt
Filed under: Lathyrus oleraceus (garden pea)
Lineage: Eukaryota; Viridiplantae; Streptophyta; Magnoliopsida; Fabales; Fabaceae
Description: Pisum sativum (pea) long non-coding RNA (PSAT_LNC028220)
Source: RNAcentral